Molecule: ribosomal RNA, 643 nt
Filed under: uncultured bacterium
Lineage: Bacteria
Description: bacterial SSU rRNA
Rfam family: Bacterial small subunit ribosomal RNA
Source: RNAcentral
CGCGGCCUAUCAGCUUGUUGGUGAGGUAAUGGCUCACCAAGGCGACGACGGGUAGCCGGCCUGAGAGGGUGACCGGCCACACUGGGACUGAGACACGGCCCAGACUCCUACGGGAGGCAGCAGUGGGGAAUAUUGCACAAUGGGCGAAAGCCUGAUGCAGCGACGCCGCGUGAGGGAUGACGGCCUUCGGGUUGUAAACCUCUUUCAGUAGGGAAGAAGCGAAAGUGGCGGUACCUGCAGAAGAAGCACCGGCUAACUACGUGCCAGCAGCCGCGGUAAUACGUAGGGUGCGAGCGUUAUCCGGAAUUAUUGGGCGUAAAGAGCUCGUAGGCGGUUUGUCGCGUCUGUCGUGAAAGUCCGGGGCUUAACCCCGGAUCUGCGGUGGGUACGGGCAGACUAGAGUGCAGUAGGGGAGACUGGAAUUCCUGGUGUAGCGGUGGAAUGCGCAGAUAUCAGGAGGAACACCGAUGGCGAAGGCAGGUCUCUGGGCUGUAACUGACGCUGAGGAGCGAAAGCAUGGGGAGCGAACAGGAUUAGAUACCCUGGUAGUCCAUGCCGUAAACGUUGGGCACUAGGUGUGGGGAACAUUCCACGUUUUCCGCGCCGCAGCUAACGCAUUAAGUGCCCCGCCUGGGGAGUACGG